RNAcentral lists this ribosomal RNA (465 nucleotides) under uncultured Prevotella sp. RNAcentral describes it as "bacterial SSU rRNA". It matches the Rfam family "Bacterial small subunit ribosomal RNA", at positions 336 to 798 of the family's 1533-position model. Lineage: Bacteria; Pseudomonadati; Bacteroidota; Bacteroidia; Bacteroidales; Prevotellaceae. The record is from RNAcentral.
UUCCUACGGGCGGCUGCAGUGAGGAAUAUUGGUCAAUGGGCGAGAGCCUGAACCAGCCAAGUAGCGUGCAGGAUGACGGCCCUAUGGGUUGUAAACUGCUUUUAUAUGGGGAUAAAGUUAGUCACGUGUGACUAUUUGCAGGUACCAUAUGAAUAAGGACCGGCUAAUUCCGUGCCAGCAGCCGCGGUAAUACGGAAGGUCCAGGCGUUAUCCGGAUUUAUUGGGUUUAAAGGGAGCGUAGGCUGUUUUUUAAGCGUGUUGUGAAAUGUAGAUGCUUAACAGCUGAAUGGCAGCGCGAACUGGAAGACUUGAGUGCGCGGAAGGUAGGCGGAAGUCGUCGUGUAGCGGUGAAAUGCUUAGAUAUGACGAAGAACUCCGAUUGCGAAGGCAGCUUACCGCAGCGCCACUGACGCUGAUGCUCGAAGGUGCGGGUAUCGAACAGGAUUAGAUACCCCUGUAGUCCGG